UUUGACUUUUACCCUCAAAUAUCUCUGAGACCUGACCUGCUCUGCCUCUCACUGAUACUCCCCUGCCUGAGCUACCUGCUCCUCUCAAAACCUGGCAGAAUAAGAGCGAGUGCUGAACACCUCAGCACCAGACACGUUUAACGGACCUUUUUUUUUCUUUUUUCUACCAUCUCAUUAUAAAAAUUUCCUUAAAAAAUAGCGAAGCUUAAAAUAUUAUACAUCCAUAUAUACCCACCACCUAGAUUGUACCAUUAACACUUUACUUGCUUUAUUAUAUAUCCAUCCAUCUAUCCAUCCACAGGAAUUUUAAUGCCAGAAGAGCUCCCUGAAGCACCUUGUAAGUCACCAGCUCUGCUUCGGUUGUCAAAUGACCAAUAUUAUGCCUAACUGGAUGAGUAGGGAGCAGCAGUAAAACUACCUCCGGAAUCCAGUUCGUCAGAUGUCAGCAGAGGUCUCCAUGCUGGAAAGGAUGUGUUUUAAUGGGAAAGUGACCUAUCAUGCAGGAUAUCCAAGAAUACUUGACUGAAGAAAUCACUCAGAACGGCCUAGAAUUGUACGCAGGGUUGAAAAGACCAUAAGAAGUUGCAAUACGUAUUGGACUGCCGUAACAAACUGUCCUGAGUCCCUGCUUCUUUAGAGGGAGGCACCAAAAGAGCGCCCUCAAGAAUCCAGAGUGACUUCAAGGAAGCCGUCAUGGUGGAUAGCUCCCCCAAGUGGAUCAGUCCAGCUCAAACCCGAGGAGUAACAGCCCUGAGCCAGCUGUUUGCAGCACCAGGAUGGCAGUAACCUCUGUACAAAACAGUGACAUUUUUGAAGAUUUAUUUAUUUUAAGAGGGAGAGAGGAGAGAGAGGAUCCCAAGCAGACUCCCCACUGAGCGCAGAGCCCUACCAGGCGCCUGAUUCCACCCCCGUCCUGCCCCCCCGCUGCGCUCUGCUGGGAUCAUGACCUGAGCGGAAAUCAAGAGUCAGACGCCUACCAACUGAGCCACCCAGGCACCCCUCACAGGUGACAUUUUUAAACACAUGGUUAAACAA
Molecule: long non-coding RNA, 1035 nt
Filed under: Ursus maritimus (polar bear)
Lineage: Eukaryota; Metazoa; Chordata; Mammalia; Carnivora; Ursidae
Description: lncRNA (ENSUMAG00000013672.1)
Source: RNAcentral